This 486-nucleotide ribosomal RNA is filed under the name uncultured bacterium. RNAcentral describes it as "bacterial SSU rRNA". It matches the Rfam family "Bacterial small subunit ribosomal RNA", at positions 29 to 526 of the family's 1533-position model. The record is from RNAcentral.
AACGAACGUUGGCGGCGUGGAUUAGGCAUGCAAGUCGAACGAAUCCCAUUUGGGUAACUGGAUGGGGGAAGUGGCGAAAGGGGCAGUAAUGCAUGGGUAACCUACCCUGGAGUUGGGCAUAGCUAUUCUAACGAAUAGGUAAUUCCCGAUGGCCCAGCGAGAAGACAUCUUUUUGCUGGUAAAGAGUUUCGCUCUGGGAGGGGCCCAUGUGCUAUUAGCUAGUUGGCGGGGUAACGGCCCACCAAGGCUAAGAUGGCUAGCGGGUGUGAGAGCACGACCCGCGCCACUGGCACUGAGACACUGGCCAGACACCUACGGGUGGCUGCAGUCGAGGAUCUUCGUCAAUGGGCGAAAGCCUGAACGAGCGACGCCGCGUGCGCGAUGAAGGCCUUCGGGUUGUAAAGCGCGAAAGUGGGGACGAAGCCGAAAGGUUGACCGAUCCACAGUAAGCUCGGGCUAAGUUCGUGCCAGCCGCCGCCGUAACAC